CAGGAGCACCGGACCGCGGCCCAGGUUACUGGGAGGAAAGUCCGAACACCUCUGCGACAGCAAUGUCCAGAACAAGGGAUGUCGUUAACGGCGACCGGGUAUACGUGGAUCGUUCACUCAUUGGAUUCCUGUGAGUGAGAGAUGCACAAAGCCUAGGGAAAGUGCCACAGAGACAAUACGGCCGCUCACGGCUUAAGGUGAAAAGUGCUGCGAUACGGUGUGCGACUUCGGUUGUACAUCACGCAACUCGUCCUCUGGUGACAGAGUGACGUGGUAAACCCAUCCCGGUGCAAGUGCAAAUUUGGUAGCACGCUCGAGCCCAACAGCAAUGUUGUGCCCAGAUAGAUCGCGGUCUCCCACGUAGCUCCUUGGAGCUUUACGUGGCUAGACAGAAUUCGGCUUACAGGUGUCCCAAGGCU
Molecule: RNase P RNA, 419 nt
Filed under: Candidatus Uhrbacteria bacterium CG10_big_fil_rev_8_21_14_0_10_50_16
Lineage: Bacteria; Candidatus Uhriibacteriota
Description: RNase P RNA component class A
Rfam family: Bacterial RNase P class A
About the family: Ribonuclease P (RNase P) is a ubiquitous endoribonuclease, found in archaea, bacteria and eukarya as well as chloroplasts and mitochondria. Its best characterised activity is the generation of mature 5'-ends of tRNAs by cleaving the 5'-leader elements of precursor-tRNAs.
Source: RNAcentral